RNAcentral lists this ribosomal RNA (533 nucleotides) under Salmonella enterica subsp. enterica serovar Muenster. RNAcentral's name for it is "partial 23S ribosomal RNA". It matches the Rfam family "Bacterial large subunit ribosomal RNA", at positions 137 to 709 of the family's 2925-position model. The record is from RNAcentral. Lineage: Bacteria; Pseudomonadati; Pseudomonadota; Gammaproteobacteria; Enterobacterales; Enterobacteriaceae.
GACUCGUCACACUAUCAUUAACUGAAUCCAUAGGUUAAUGAGGCGAACCGGGGGAACUGAAACAUCUAAGUACCCCGAGGAAAAGAAAUCAACCGAGAUUCCCCCAGUAGCGGCGAGCGAACGGGGAGGAGCCCAGAGCCUGAAUCAGCAUGUGUGUUAGUGGAAGCGUCUGGAAAGGCGCGCGAUACAGGGUGACAGCCCCGUACACAAAAGCGCAUGUGCUGUGAGCUCGAUGAGUAGGGCGGGACACGUGGUAUCCUGUCUGAAUAUGGGGGGACCAUCCUCCAAGGCUAAAUACUCCUGACUGACCGAUAGUGAACCAGUACCGUGAGGGAAAGGCGAAAAGAACCCCGGCGAGGGGAGUGAAAAAGAACCUGAAACCGUGUACGUACAAGCAGUGGGAGCACAGGUUUACCUGUGUGACUGCGUACCUUUUGUAUAAUGGGUCAGCGACUUAUAUUCUGUAGCAAGGUUAACCGUAUAGGGGAGCCGGAGGGAAACCGAGUCUUAAUUGGGCGUUAAGUUGCAGGGUA